GGGAAUAUUGCACAAUGGGCGCAAGCCUGAUGCAGCCAUGCCGCGUGUAUGAAGAAGGCCUUCGGGUUGUAAACUUCUUUUCUCAGGGACGAAGAAAGUGACGGUACCUGAGGAAUAAGCCACGGCUAACUACGUGCCAGCAGCCGCGGUAAUACGUAGGUGGCAAGCGUUAUCCGGAUUUACUGGGUGUGAAGGGCGUGUAGGCGGGAAAGCAAGUCAGAUGUGAAAACCACGGGCUCAACCUGUGGCCUGCAUUUGAAACUGUUUUUCUUGAGUACUGGAGAGGCAGACGGAAUUCCUAGUGUAGCGGUGAAAUGCGUAGAUAUUAGGAGGAACACCAGUGGCGAAGGCGGUCUGCUGGACAGCAACUGACGCUGAGGCGCGAAAGCGUGGGGAGCA
Molecule: ribosomal RNA, 399 nt
Filed under: uncultured bacterium
Lineage: Bacteria
Description: bacterial SSU rRNA
Rfam family: Bacterial small subunit ribosomal RNA
Source: RNAcentral